This 593-nucleotide non-coding RNA is filed under the name unclassified sequences. RNAcentral describes it as "ROOL RNA". It matches the Rfam family "ROOL RNA". Rfam says of the family: Firmicutes, Fusobacteria (1 example), Tenericutes (1 example). Environment (Cow rumen (57)) The record is from Rfam by way of RNAcentral.
UUCGGUCUGUUUAAACAUGAUUAACUCAGUGAAGAUGGAUUUUUCAGUCCUGCUGAGAUGCGAUGGUAAUGAGAUAGGUUGAUUCGGGAUACUGGAUUAACUGAUUCUUUCCAGCAGAAGUGAUUCUGUCGGUGGAGACGAACAUCGUCAACAAUGCCUUGCAGUGUAUCAUCAUAGAGAAGUCAAAUGCAGAAUCCUUGUGGUCGGCGUAGAAUAGACGCUUGCAGUGCAAGAAUAAUCCGGUGAUGUGAAGAUGGUGUGAGAGACCACAGACUAACUGGAAAUCUCAAAUAAGCUGAUUUGCCUUGAAUCUGAGAAAUCAGAGUAUAACACAAGAAAUUCGUUAAAGUAGCGGUAUGGCAAGUUCUUCAAUAAGCAGUUUUUCGAUGUUAGCAUAUGGAAUAAGGAAUGCAAGUAGAAAAAAACAUGAUCUGAAAGAACCGUGAAAUUUAUGGGUAUCAAUCCCAUGUGUGCUUUGACCGCGGUAAGAAGCCAAGGGUCGCGCCCGAACGCUCAGACUUAUCGUCACACUGGCAGAAUAUGACUGUAUCUUGAUGAAUAAGGGGAAGCCCUAGUCAUGUUUUUUAAAUAGA